AGUUGAUCCUGGCUUAGGACGAACGCUGGCGGCGUGCUUAAUACAUGCAAGUCGAGCGAGCUACUUCGGUAGCGAGCGGCGCACGGGUGAGUAACGCGUAGAUGAUCUACCCUCGAGACUGAGAUACCUCCGGGAAACUGGAGUUAAUACCCAGAUAACGCACAUCAGUUGGUUCAGAUGUGUUAAAGCGGUGCAAGUCGCACUUGAGGAUGAGUCUGCGGCCUAUCAGCUAGUUGGUGGGGUAACGGCCUACCAAGGCGAAGACGGGUAGCUGAUCUGAGAGGAUGAUCAGCCACAUUGGGACUGAGACACGGCCCAAACUCCUACGGGAGGCAGCAGUAGGGAAUAUUGCGCAAGUGGGGGGAACCCUGACGCAGCGACGCCGCGUGAAGUGAUGACGGUCCUUUUUGGUUGUAAAGCUCUGUAAAGAGGGAAAAAUGUUGUAGUGAAGAGCUGCAAUUGAUGGUACCUCUAAAGUAAGGACCGGCUAAAUACGUGCCAGCAGCCGC
Molecule: ribosomal RNA, 509 nt
Filed under: uncultured bacterium
Lineage: Bacteria
Description: bacterial SSU rRNA
Rfam family: Bacterial small subunit ribosomal RNA
Source: RNAcentral